ACUGGUUUAAAACAACAAAGCUUUGUUUUCGCUUAUAUGCGGUUAUUGAAGUUGAGUCCUUUAGAUAGUUUUUGUGUAAAUAUGCAAUGUUUUAACAUGUUCUUAAAUCUAUUUGUGUUAAAUUGGUUAAUCGACAUUUUCCCAGUCGCAAUGUUGGGAAUUUGAGUAAAGGAUCUGAUUAAGAUUGGUCACCGGCAUUGGUCUCUGUCACAAGAAAGCUUUACAAAACCUCGAAAGUCAAAAUCUGACUAAAAUAAUUUUAUAUUGUUUUUACGACAUAGCAUACAUGUACAAGGAUCGGUUUUAAGAACUUUACUUUGAAUAAUGAUUUGAUAGUGUCCAAAUGGUCACUACACUAUGUUGUACAUAAAAUUUAAUUUCAAUUUAGGUGGCGAUAUUUUAAUUGUUUAAAAUAAUAACUGAUCACAGGGGAAAAAUCACAGGGACUGAGCAAAUACGCGAACCUUUCUGGUUUUGUAUAAAAAUAAAACAUAAUCAAAAUAUAUUUAUUUUGUGGUUUUUCUAACAACAGCGCAGACUUUUGCUGUUCGAGUUUUGGUUAACGCGUAUUUUCUUCAAUUUUACAAGACGAUAGCGAUUACACGGUUUAUUGCUUUAUUGAUAACCGUUACACUACAGUCACUUAUUAAGGCAGUAGGUGCCUAGUGAGAUCGGGAAUAGUCAGUCGAUAUCGCCGUAUUCGGAAAGCAUUUCGGCUUUAAGCGAUAUCUACGGUAAAGUCCGGAAAUAAUACUAAAUACACAAAAUAAAUUUGUAUUUUUUUAUUUAAGAGUUUAAUUUGCUUAUCUCUUUAAGAUUUAAUAACUAUACAAUAUAAAUAUAAGUUAAAUUAAUUCGUUUCAUAAAAUAUUUGUGUCCAUGACGUCACGAUUGUUGACAUUUUCUUAGCAAAAUGAAAGUGCGAAAUAAUAGCGAGCGAUUUGCAAAAUCGAAAAAGAAGCAAACACCGAUCGAUAAUGUCAACUGCGUCGUCUAGUAAGGCUGCCAUUGAUGCUUAUGAGAAAGAAAUGGAUUCGAGGUACAGUAAUGCCUGAUGUUACUUAGAUUGCUGCUGUGCGUUUGAAGACGGGUUUUAAGUUCUUGACAUAUGCGAAGACAACAGUGCCAAUUUCUUCCGAAGCUCAGAAAGUGAUUGGCAUCUCUGUUGAUCAUGGCAUAAUGCGUGUAAAUGGUGGAAGUGUUGAUAGUCUAUCAAUUAAAACUUCUCUACAUGAUUGUAUGAUGUGGCUUGCAAAGUUUCCCAGAGCCAUUUGUGUUGCUCAUUAUGGGCGCAGGUUUGAUUUUCCGGUUUUGGUUAGUGCAUUGCUGAACACACACUGCAUUGCAACGUUUGUAAUUGUGUAAGCAGUUUUGUUUACUCUUUGCCGGUUUUCAAACAUCGUAUCCUUGACAGUCACACAAACAGGAAGAUCUAGUGAACGUGUUCUCCAGGCAACCUGCAAGGCCCACAGUGAUCCUGAUGAUGUUGAAGCACUGGGAUCUUUGCUAAAACAUGUUAAAUUACUGACAAUAUGGCCCACAUCUUUACUGUUACUGCAAUCCAUAAUUCAGUUUGUUUAAGUCGUGAAAAGCCCUAAAGGCAAAGAACAUUAGAUUGUUAGAAGUGCUGUUGCAUAGAGGAACUCUAAAGCGACAAACAGCUGAAAACAUUGCGGGAUAUGGACUUACCUUGUGUUAUUUGAAAGCCAUAUUUACUAGUUCCGGAAAUGAUGACUUAAGGGAUACUUUCAUUGCUAAAAACAAUGAGGGACUACCAAAAUUCACAAACGCAAAAACAUAUUUUAUCUGAAGUGGUCCCUAAAAUCGGUCAGUUUUUCAGUGACGAAAAGUCACGGAACGAGAUAAUAUGGCUAUCAAAUGACACGCAGCAAGUCAAAAUCACGCAAUGGCUGUAUACUGAUACUAAAUUAUGUACAUCUGGUUGUCAUUAAUCUGGAUGUUUUUAUUAAAAUAUAAGUUGUAUAUUAUUGUGCUACAUGAUUAGAGAAACAUGAUAACUUA
Molecule: long non-coding RNA, 2022 nt
Organism: Dreissena polymorpha
Lineage: Eukaryota; Metazoa; Mollusca; Bivalvia; Myida; Dreissenidae
Exons: 2
Source: RefSeq, a predicted model, not a curated record